AUUGAACGCUGGCGGCAGGCCUAACACAUGCAAGUCGAACGGUAACAGGAAGCAGCUUGCUGCUUCGCUGACGAGUGGCGGACGGGUGAGUAAUGUCUGGGAAGCUGCCUGAUGGAGGGGGAUAACUACUGGAAACGGUAGCUAAUACCGCAUAAUGUCGCAAGACCAAAGAGGGGGACCUUCGGGCCUCUUGCCAUCGGAUGUGCCCAGAUGGGAUUAGCUUGUUGGUGGGGUAACGGCUCACCAAGGCGACGAUCCCUAGCUGGUCUGAGAGGAUGACCCGCCACACUGGAACUGAGACACGGUCCAGACUCCUACGGGAGGCAGCAGUGGGGAAUAUUGCACAAUGGGCGCAAGCCUGAUGCAGCCAUGCCGCGUGUAUGAAGAAGGCCUUCGGGUUGUAAAGUACUUUCAGCGGGGAGGAAGGGAGUAAAGUUAAUACCUUUGCUCAUUGACGUUACCCGCAGAAGAAGCACCGGCUAACUCCGUG
Molecule: ribosomal RNA, 490 nt
Filed under: uncultured bacterium
Lineage: Bacteria
Description: partial 16S ribosomal RNA
Rfam family: Bacterial small subunit ribosomal RNA
Source: RNAcentral